RNAcentral lists this ribosomal RNA (468 nucleotides) under uncultured bacterium. RNAcentral describes it as "partial 16S ribosomal RNA". It matches the Rfam family "Bacterial small subunit ribosomal RNA", at positions 28 to 507 of the family's 1533-position model. The record is from RNAcentral.
GACGAACGCUGGCGGCGUGCUUAACACAUGCAAGUCGAACGGAAAGGCCCUGCUUUUGUGGGGUGCUCGAGUGGCGAACGGGUGAGUAACACGUGAGUAACCUGCCCUUGACUUUGGGAUAACUUCAGGAAACUGGGGCUAAUACCGGAUAGGAGCUCCUGCUGCAUGGUGGGGGUUGGAAAGUUUCGGCGGUUGGGGAUGGACUCGCGGCUUAUCAGCUUGUUGGUGGGGUAGUGGCUUACCAAGGCUUUGACGGGUAGCCGGCCUGAGAGGGUGACCGGCCACAUUGGGACUGAGAUACGGCCCAGACUCCUACUGGAGGCAGCAGUGGGGAAUAUUGCACAAUGGGCGGAAGCCUGAUGCAGCAACGCCGCGUGCGGGAUGACGGCCUUCGGGUUGUAAACCGCUUUCGCCUGUGACGAAGCGUGAGUGACGGUGAUGGGUAAAGAAGCACCGGCUAACUACGUG